RNAcentral lists this ribosomal RNA (382 nucleotides) under uncultured organism. Its description in RNAcentral is "partial 16S ribosomal RNA". It matches the Rfam family "Bacterial small subunit ribosomal RNA", at positions 526 to 896 of the family's 1533-position model. The record is from RNAcentral.
GGAGGGGUGCGAGCGUUGUACCGGAAUCACUGGGCGUAAAAGGGCGCGUAGGGCGGCUUGAUAAGUACGGGGGGGGUGGAAAUCCCACGGGCUCAACCGUGGGCCUGCCUCCUAAACUGUCGGGCUUGAGCACGGUAGAGGCAGAUGGAAUUCCCGGUGUAGCGGUGGAAUGCGUAGAUAUCGGGAAGAACACCAGUGGCGAAGGCGGUCUGCUGGGCCGUUGCUGACGCUGAGGCGCGACAGCGUGGGGAGCAAACAGGAUUAGAUACCCUGGUAGUCCACGCCGUAAACGAUGGGCACUAGGCGUCGGGGGGAGCGACCCUCCCGGUGCCGUCGCUAACGCAGUAAGUGCCCCGCCUGGGGAGUACGGCCGCAAAGGCUG